RNAcentral lists this transfer RNA (73 nucleotides) under Bacteroidales bacterium. RNAcentral describes it as "tRNA-Pro". It matches the Rfam family "tRNA". Rfam says of the family: Transfer RNA (tRNA) molecules are approximately 80 nucleotides in length. Their secondary structure includes four short double-helical elements and three loops (D, anti-codon, and T loops). Further hydrogen bonds mediate the characteristic L-shaped molecular structure. tRNAs have two regions of fundamental functional importance: the anti-codon, which is responsible for specific mRNA codon recognition, and the 3' end, to which the tRNAs corresponding amino acid is attached (by aminoacyl-tRNA synthetases). tRNAs cope with the degeneracy of the genetic code in two manners: having more than one tRNA (with a specific anti-codon) for a particular amino acid; and 'wobble' base-pairing, i.e. permitting non-standard base-pairing at the 3rd anti-codon position. Lineage: Bacteria; Pseudomonadati; Bacteroidota; Bacteroidia; Bacteroidales. RNAcentral also lists the same sequence under 1 other name. The record is from RNAcentral.
CUGGGUGUGGCGCAGUUGGUAGCGCACCUGGUUAGGGACCAGGAGGUCGCUUGUUCGAGUCAAGUCACCCAGA